GACAGAGGGUGCAAACGUUGUUCGGAUUUACUGGGCGUAAAGCGCGUGUAGGCGGCUUUGCAAGUCGGAUGUGAAAGCCCACGGCUCAACCGUGGAAGUGCAUCCGAAACUGCAUGGCUGGAGUCUCGGAGAGGAAGGUGGAAUGCUUGGUGUAGAGGUGAAAUUCGUAGAUAUCAAGCAGAACACCUGCGGCGAAGGCGGCCUUCUGGACGAGGACUGACGCUGAGACGCGAAAGCGUGGGGAGCAAACAGG
This 253-nucleotide ribosomal RNA is filed under the name uncultured bacterium. RNAcentral's name for it is "partial 16S ribosomal RNA". It matches the Rfam family "Bacterial small subunit ribosomal RNA", at positions 524 to 776 of the family's 1533-position model. The record is from RNAcentral.